UCCCGUGUGGCUCAGUGGGUAGAGCAUGGCACUUGCAACGCCAGGGUUUUGGCUUCGAUUCCCAUGGGGGAU
RNAcentral lists this transfer RNA (72 nucleotides) under Salmo salar (Atlantic salmon). It matches the Rfam family "tRNA". From Rfam's summary of the family: Transfer RNA (tRNA) molecules are approximately 80 nucleotides in length. Their secondary structure includes four short double-helical elements and three loops (D, anti-codon, and T loops). The record is from Rfam by way of RNAcentral. RNAcentral also lists the same sequence under 1 other name. Lineage: Eukaryota; Metazoa; Chordata; Actinopteri; Salmoniformes; Salmonidae.